This 484-nucleotide long non-coding RNA is filed under the name Rosa chinensis. RNAcentral's name for it is "sRNA RchiOBHm_Chr6g0297141". Lineage: Eukaryota; Viridiplantae; Streptophyta; Magnoliopsida; Rosales; Rosaceae. The record is from RNAcentral.
AGGCUUUCCACAUUUUUGUCCCUGAUUCCGUGGUUUCCCUUUUCCUACGAUGGCAACACUUGAGGAACCUUGGUCUCUGUAAAGAUAUAAGAUGGUUGUCAUUUGGAUGAUUUUAGUUGCACUGAAAUUGAACCAGGUUAGUGGAGAAGGAAAACACAGACAUAGAUGCAGAACUUUGGCAUAUUUUGGUGAUUCUUAAAACAGAUAACAGUGUAGAGAGUCUUUGUUGGGAUUCAGUUCUGUUUGGCUGGACUUAAACAUCAGUGGUGGAUCAUUGAGAAUCAGCUGAGGCCAAGGUAAAUAGUUGGUCAAAUUUAACAACUGAUCUACUAUUUACUGCAGGCAAUUUGCUGAACGUUCACGGUUCAGAAACUCCAAUACAUAGCUGAACCGGAGAGAAAUGUGCAAGCUAUAUAUUUUCCUAUAGUAAGAGUGGAGCUGUUCCACCUACAAGUGUUGUGUGGUUGUAAACUUGUAAAUAAAC